GACUGGUCCCUGGAGGUGGAGCAGUGUAAGGAGGACAGUGGGUGUUCUGGCAGCAAUUCACUCUGCCUGUGGUGCCAGAUCUCAUUUCCUAAGGAGCCUUUCGAGCAGAAGUUCCCAGCACUUGCACUAGGUCCAGUGUAAAUUAAGGCUCCACUGGGAAGUACAGGAACCAGCCUGGAUCCGUUUAAGAAGUAAUAACGCUUGUUAGCUCCUGGGAAAGAAUAGAUUCAGGUUGGAUCUACUGGGGUCUCUGAACAAGGACAUCUCCCUGGAGCAGCUGCAGGCUCGCAAGUGACAGUAUGUUAACUGAUACUUUUCACCACCCAGUAAGGCACUUAGCUGAAGAAGCCUGUCCAGGGGGUUGUACCUGGUAACCUACUUGAUAGCAAGGACAGAAAGAGGAGACUUUCUUAAUCUGAAAGAAAGGCAUGAAAAAAUAAGCAAAUAAAACAAAGUGGCCUCCAUAUUGUUUGAGUUGUACAGGGGAUGACUGCUUAUUUCCGGGGGACACACAGCCUUCAGAGUUGAAAGCAUAAAGCAUUGACCUGUCAUACCUGUAAAUUUUAUUUUUGUGUUUUGCCAGCAGUGGAACCCAGGCCUUCACCCAUGCAAGGCAGAUACGCCACCCCUGAGCUACACCCCAGCCCUCUCCUACCUUUUUAAAAAAUAUUUAUUUUAUAAUGUUGCUGUUUGUGACACAGCUUUUCCCCCUCCCAAGUUGCUGAAGUGGUUGAUGCUUUGGGAGGGUAUGCUGUGACUUCAAAGCUCCUGCCACAGAGACCUGGGAAGCAGGACCAGAGGUGUUGGAAAGGCUGGGUUGGAGAGCAGAUGUGUGUGGGAGGGGUUGGAUAGAUCUGGGCUUGAGUUCACUUGGCCUUUCCCUUUCCCAGCAGUCUUCUGCCUGGCUGUUACUGGCCUCAUCCUGUCAGUGACCUAGCCCUCCCAUCCUGUUCCUACUGGCUCUCUCAUCCCUUGCACCUCUCGGCCUCCCUGCCACUAUCUAGGGUUUUGUAUCCAGUGUUGCUGCUGGCUCUUCCCCUACAGUCCACUCUUGCCUGCAGACUACCAGUGCCCUCCUCCCCUCCCCACAGGUCUGGUCCUACUAUGGUAACUCACACCCCACCCCAACCCCGUGUGCCCCCUGCCCAGCUGCUACCCCAUCUUUUGCCUUGGGGCUUUACCCAUGAUGCAUCCUGGGCCAUGAUCCAGCCACUGGUCCCAUGCCUGGGGUAAGCAUUCCAUGCCCUCAGUCAUUGUACCAUCUAGCUAAGAGUCUUCACACCAUCUUCCCCCCCUGUGUGGGGGGGAUUAGGUACUCCUUACUGGGAGAAUGUAGAGCUCUGGGAUAUUCAUAACCAUGGUGUUUACCAAGAUCUACUGUAAUCUGGUGGCUUCCAUAUUUCCUACUAGAUCUUUCUUGUAAACAGUCAUGUAUAUUACUGAUUAUUGGUCUCCCCAGCAUAAAGCAUUGGUAACUGGUCUAAAUAAUGAGUGGAAAUCCACAUGGGCAAAAAUAGGUUGGGAAUUUUUCACAGUGAAAUGUGAAAGAUAAUGCGGAUGACCCAAGGCAAGUGGAAAGAAAAAAGUAAGUUUUGUGAGUAGAAGGGAACAAACCUGUUUACCUUACUUCAUAACUGAUGGUCAACUCUCCUAGCUUAGUAGGAUGCCAAAAAAAAUAAAAACAAACUCAACAGCCAUUGAAGUAGCAUUUGUAGUUUGUUUGGUUUCUAUUUUAAUAAAAAAAAGUAUAAUUUACUCUAGGCCACUGUUUCCAUGGAAACCUGCCAAAUGGAGGGAAGAGUUAAGUGCAGUUCAUCAUGGAAAGCUCCCCUUCUGUGGACCAAUCUCUGCUCUGCUCUCCCUGGUCCUGUCCUCAGGAAGUUUGUGGCUUCCCUUGACUGAAGGAGCUGGAGACAGUAGUCCAG
Molecule: long non-coding RNA, 1925 nt
Filed under: Marmota monax (woodchuck)
Lineage: Eukaryota; Metazoa; Chordata; Mammalia; Rodentia; Sciuridae
Source: RNAcentral